RNAcentral lists this ribosomal RNA (491 nucleotides) under uncultured bacterium. RNAcentral describes it as "partial 16S ribosomal RNA". It matches the Rfam family "Bacterial small subunit ribosomal RNA", at positions 28 to 507 of the family's 1533-position model. The record is from RNAcentral.
GAUGAACGCUGGCUACAGGCUUAACACAUGCAAGUCGAGGGGAAACGACGGGGAAGCUUGCUUCCCCGGGCGUCGACCGGCGCACGGGUGAGUAACGCGUAUCCAACCUGCCUCUGACUGAGGGAUAACCCGUCGAAAGUCGGCCUAAUACCUCAUGGCAUAGUUUGUGGGAAUUAAAGGAAGAUUAAAGAGGGUAGAGGGUAGGGUGGGGGAUGCGUCUGAUUAGCUUGUUGGCGGGGUAACGGCCCACCAAGGCUACGAUCAGUAGGGGUUCUGAGAGGAAGGUCCCCCACAUUGGAACUGAGACACGGUCCAAACUCCUACGGGAGGCAGCAGUCACUAAUAUUCAUCCCUCAACUUUAUCCUCAACCCACCAAGUAUCGUACAUGAGGACGGCCCUAUGGGUUGUAAACUGCUUUUAUGCAAAAAUAAAAUCAUUAACUUAUCCUUCAUUACAUUUCCCCCAUCAAUAACAACCGGCUAAUUCCUUG